ACGCUCGACACCUACGGGAGGCAGCAGUGGGGAAUAUUGCACAAUGGGGGAAACCCUGAUGCAGCGACGCCGCGUGAGCGAAGAAGUAUCUCGGUAUGUAAAGCUCUAUCAGCAGGGAAGAAGAUGACGGUACCUGACUAAGAAGCACCGGCUAAAUACGUGCCGGCAGCCGCGGUAAUCUGAGCGGGCUGGCAAGGC
RNAcentral lists this ribosomal RNA (198 nucleotides) under uncultured bacterium. RNAcentral describes it as "partial 16S ribosomal RNA". It matches the Rfam family "Bacterial small subunit ribosomal RNA", at positions 328 to 539 of the family's 1533-position model. The record is from RNAcentral.